AACUUCUGAACCGGUCGUCCAACAGUAGGUUCGUACUUCAUACCAGCAUGAUGGUGUGUUAUGUUUGCUUCACUUACUACUUGUUCGAUUAGAAUCAUAUUGGUGCCGUUGUGUCUAGGAUAUGAGUGAAUUUUUGUGCAUUUGGGCUGUUAGGUAUGAAAUGUGGGAAGUAUAGGCACUACGGCCUGAAGAUUCCUUAAGGUUAACCGGAAAUGACUACAAACUUGUUUAAUUCUUUAGGUGCAGGUGCUGCCGGUUGAUGGCGGCCUAACCAUGAGUGUAACUGAAAGUGAACCAGGGCGAUGUGCAGAAAAAAAAUCUUAGCACAUAGGCUGAAUUUGUAUACUACUUCAAAUUUAUUAGGUAGUACUCCCUCCGUAUGUAUAUCACUUCCGAAAACAAGUUCGGGUUAUUAGGUAGUACUAUUGAAUUUCAGGAUUGAUACUUGAAGAUUUUAAAAAAUUUUGUACCAACUCUACUGUUAUGUAUAGGAAGAACAUGUUCUAAAAUAUUUAUAAUUCAUAUGAAAGUGAUCAUUUGAUUAUUAAAUCAUGCCGCUAAUAAGAUAAGUUCUUGUCACUUAUUUCUUGAAAAAUUUCCAUUGUUCAGGUUCUGACUUCAUUUGUUGAGCUAUUUUAAUUUUUGUAUGAGAGAAAUGAAAAACUUUAUGAUUGGUAUGUCGAAACUUUGAUCAGUUCAUUGUGGAAUAAUGACGGUGAUUUGGAUUCUUAACUAAAUUAUGAUAGGCUUCCAUUUUGGUGGCUCUGAUUUGGUUUUAUGUGUUUUUUGUUACCAGGUAGAAAAUACUUAAUGCUGGUAUCCCAGAGUUUUACUUACUGGAAUAGAAACGAGGCUUAUUUAUUGAGAAUUUUAGCUGUAGUGUGUGUCAGUGCCCUCGUACUUUUCAAGUGAAACCUUGAAGAAAAGCAUAAUGAAGGUUAUGCUGAUAGCGGUGGCGCGGAAAGAAUAUAAAAUUGAGGGUACAAAAGUAUUAGGAUCUCCAUGCCGGCAAAUGUAGUGUGUUGCACUGAUUGCAAUUACUUCUUUGCUGUUAUUUGUUGUUACUGCCAUAGUUUAUUGUUUGUGCUUAU
This 1091-nucleotide long non-coding RNA is filed under the name Triticum aestivum (bread wheat). Its description in RNAcentral is "long non-coding RNA (TAES_LNC024819)". Lineage: Eukaryota; Viridiplantae; Streptophyta; Magnoliopsida; Poales; Poaceae. The record is from RNAcentral.